Molecule: ribosomal RNA, 433 nt
Filed under: uncultured bacterium
Lineage: Bacteria
Description: partial 16S ribosomal RNA
Rfam family: Bacterial small subunit ribosomal RNA
Source: RNAcentral
AGCGAACGCUGGCGGCAGGCCUAACACAUGCAAGUCGAACGAACUCUUCGGAGUUAGUGGCGGACGGGUGAGUAACACGUGGGAACGUGCCUUUUGGUUCGGAAUAACUCAGGGAAACUUGUGCUAAUACCGAAUGUGCCCUUCGGGGGAAAGAUUUAUCGCGAUUAGAGCGGCCCGCGUCUGAUUAGCUAGUUGGGGAGGUAACGGCUCACCAAGGCGAGGAUCAGUAGAUGGUCAGAGAGGAUGAGCAGCCACACUGGGACUGAGACACGGCCCAGACUCCUACGGGAGGCAGGAGUGGGGGAUCUAGCGCAAUGGGCGAAAGCCUGACGGAGCCAUGCCGGGUGAAUGAUGAAGGUCUUAGGAUUGUAAAAUUCUUUCACCGGGGACGAUAAUGACGGUACCCGGAGAAGAAGCCCCGGCUAACUUCGUG